GCCCGGCUGGCUCAGUUGGUAGAGCGUGCGACUCUUGAUCUCGGGGUCAUGAGUUCAAGUUCCAUGUGUGGUG
Molecule: transfer RNA, 73 nt
Filed under: Felis catus (domestic cat)
Lineage: Eukaryota; Metazoa; Chordata; Mammalia; Carnivora; Felidae
Also listed under: 4 other names
Rfam family: tRNA
About the family: Transfer RNA (tRNA) molecules are approximately 80 nucleotides in length.
Source: Rfam by way of RNAcentral